This 253-nucleotide ribosomal RNA is filed under the name uncultured bacterium. Its description in RNAcentral is "partial 16S ribosomal RNA". It matches the Rfam family "Bacterial small subunit ribosomal RNA", at positions 524 to 776 of the family's 1533-position model. The record is from RNAcentral.
UACGUAGGGUGCGAGCGUUGUCCGGAAUUAUUGGGCGUAAAGGGCUCGUAGGCGGUUUGUCGCGUCGGGAGUGAAAACCCAGGGCUUAACUCUGGGCUUGCUUUCGAUACGGGCAGACUAGAGGUAUGCAGGGGAGAACGGAAUUUCUGGUGUAGCGGUGAAAUGCGCAGAUAUCAGGAGGAACACCGGUGGCGAAGGCAGCUCGCUGGGACGGUACUGACGCUGAGGCGCGAAAGCGUGGGGAGCAAACAGG